CCUACGGGGGGCAGCAGUGGGGAAUCUUUGGCAAUGGGCGCAAGCCUGACCCAGCAACGCCGCGUGAAGGAAGAAAGCUUUCGGGUUGUAAACUUCUUUUAUUGAGGACGAAACAAAUGACGGUACUCCAUGAAUAAGCCACGGCUAACUACGUGCCAGCAGCCGCGGUAAUACGGAGGUGGCCAGCGUUAUCCGGAUUUACUGGGUGUAAAGGGCGGGUAGGCGGUAUUGCAAGUCAUAUGUGAAACCCAUGGGCUCAACCCAUGGCCUGCAUUUGAAACUGUAGGUCUUGAGGGAUGGAGAGGCAGGCGGAAUUCCGGGUGUAGCGGUGAAAUGCGUAGAUAUACGGAGGAACACCAGUGGCGAAGGCGGCCUGCUGGACAUUAACUGACGCUGAGGCGCGAAAGCGUGGGGAGCAAACAGGAUUAGAUACCCUGGUAGUC
Molecule: ribosomal RNA, 443 nt
Filed under: uncultured bacterium
Lineage: Bacteria
Description: partial 16S ribosomal RNA
Rfam family: Bacterial small subunit ribosomal RNA
Source: RNAcentral